RNAcentral lists this ribosomal RNA (404 nucleotides) under uncultured bacterium. Its description in RNAcentral is "partial 16S ribosomal RNA". It matches the Rfam family "Bacterial small subunit ribosomal RNA", at positions 29 to 526 of the family's 1533-position model. The record is from RNAcentral.
AUUGAACGCUGGCGGCAGGCCUAACACAUGCAAGUCGAGCGAGCGGCGGACGGGUGAGUAAUGCCUGGGAAUUGCCCAGUCGAGGGGGAUAACAGUUGGAAACGACUGCUCAUACCGCAUACGAUUGGAUUGCCCAGGUGUGAUUAGCGAGUUGGUGAGGUAAUGGCUCACCAAGGCGACGAUCCCUAGCUGGUCUGAGAGGAUGAUGAGCCAAACGGGAACGGGGACACGGUGCAGAAUCGUAGGGGAGGAAGAAGUGGGGAAUAUUGGACAAUGGGGGAAACCCUGAUGCAGCCAUGCCGCGUGUGUGAAGAAGGGCUUCGGGUUGUAAAGCACUUUCAGCGAGGAGGCGUUACUCGCAGAAGAAGCACCGGCUAACUCCGUGCCAGCCGCCGCGGUAAUUC